Molecule: ribosomal RNA, 416 nt
Filed under: uncultured bacterium
Lineage: Bacteria
Description: bacterial SSU rRNA
Rfam family: Bacterial small subunit ribosomal RNA
Source: RNAcentral
AAUACUGGACAAUGGGUGAGAGCCUGAUCCAGCCGUCCCGCGUGAAGGAUUAAGGACCUAUGGUUUGUAAACUUCUUUUCUACAGGGAUAAACCUGCCUACGUGUAGGCAGCUGAAGGUACUGUAGGAAUAAGCACCGGCUAACUCCGUGCCAGCAGCCGCGGUAAUACGGAGGGUGCGAGCGUUAUCCGGAUUUAUUGGGUUUAAAGGGUCCGUAGGCGGGCCUGUAAGUCAGUGGUGAAAUCUCACAGCUCAACUGUGAAACUGCCGUUGAUACUGCAGGCCUUGAGUGUGGUUGAGGUAGCUGGAAUGAGUAGUGUAGCGGUGAAAUGCAUAGAUAUUACUCAGAACACCGAUUGCGAAGGCAGGUUACCAAGCCACAACUGACGCUGAUGGACGAAAGCGUGGGGAGCGAAC